Molecule: ribosomal RNA, 654 nt
Filed under: Triticum aestivum (bread wheat)
Lineage: Eukaryota; Viridiplantae; Streptophyta; Magnoliopsida; Poales; Poaceae
Description: partial small subunit ribosomal RNA
Source: RNAcentral
AUGGCGUGUAGGCAGCGAAUCUGGAAGGAAGGCUGCCGGGGCUUGGAGCACGACGGCUGGCCGGCGCGCCAUGGCAUUGGGGGGAGGGGGCGUCCCAUGCUCCGGCCGUUUGUGUCCGCGCGAGGAGCUCACCCCCAAAGAACUCCUCGGGCGUCCUGCGGGCCCAGGCCAGAGGCGGCAGGCCCCAGCGCGGGUAGCCCGCCACGGGGGCAGACAGGAAGGUGUCGAUUCGGAUCACCGUGGUCCGACGACGCGCCUGGCGCCGGCGGGGGACGUGGGAGGGCAGCAGCUCACGGGCGAGGAGUCGAGGCCGGCGCGGGCGGCGGGAGGGGGGACUCGCCGUACCAGGGCUAUGACGUGCAGCGUCUGGCGAGGUGGGUGGACCACGCGCUACCCUUCUCCCUGCUCCUCCUCGACGUCUUCAUCCGCCAGCACCUGCAAGGUUUCUUCGUAAUGAUUUGGAUUACCGCAGUCAUGUUCAAGUCCAAUGAUAUCUUGCGCAAGCAGACCGCUCUCAAGGCUACAAGGUUGGGGGAGCGACCCUGCCGUUGUCAUGACGGCUGCUCCUUCUGGCCGGAUCGAGGCACGAAGACCUGUGGGAUCCCCUCCUUCGGUAGGACCUCCUCAUCUGGAGGACUGCAUGUGAUGAGUUAA